Molecule: ribosomal RNA, 892 nt
Filed under: uncultured bacterium
Lineage: Bacteria
Description: bacterial SSU rRNA
Rfam family: Bacterial small subunit ribosomal RNA
Source: RNAcentral
GUGCCAGCAGCCGCGGUAAUACGUAGGUGGCAAGCGUUGUCCGGAUUUAUUGGGCGUAAAGCGAGCGCAGGCGGUUUCUUAAGUCUGAUGUGAAAGCCUUCGGCUCAACCGAAGAAGUGCAUCGGAAACUGGGAAACUUGAGUGCAGAAGAGGACAGUGGAACUCCAUGUGUAGCGGUGAAAUGCGUAGAUAUAUGGAAGAACACCAGUGGCGAAGGCGGCUGUCUGGUCUGUAACUGACGCUGAGGCUCGAAAGCAUGGGUAGCAAACAGGAUUAGAUACCCUGGUAGUCCAUGCCGUAAACGAUGAGUGCUAGGUGUUGGAGGGUUUCCGCCCUUCAGUGCCGCAGCUAACGCAUUAAGCACUCCGCCUGGGGAGUACGACCGCAAGGUUGAAACUCAAAGGAAUUGACGGGGGCCCGCACAAGCGGUGGAGCAUGUGGUUUAAUUCGAAGCAACGCGAAGAACCUUACCAGGUCUUGACAUCCUUUGACCACUCUAGAGAUAGAGCUUUCCCUUCGGGGACAAAGUGACAGGUGGUGCAUGGUUGUCGUCAGCUCGUGUCGUGAGAUGUUGGGUUAAGUCCCGCAACGAGCGCAACCCUUAUUACUAGUUGCCAGCAUUAAGUUGGGCACUCUAGUGAGACUGCCGGUGACAAACCGGAGGAAGGUGGGGACGACGUCAAAUCAUCAUGCCCCUUAUGACCUGGGCUACACACGUGCUACAAUGGAUGGUACAACGAGUUGCGAGACCGCGAGGUUUAGCUAAUCUCUUAAAACCAUUCUCAGUUCGGAUUGUAGGCUGCAACUCGCCUACAUGAAGCCGGAAUCGCUAGUAAUCGCGGAUCAGCAUGCCGCGGUGAAUACGUUCCCGGGCCUUGUACACACCGCCCGU